This 255-nucleotide ribosomal RNA is filed under the name uncultured bacterium. Its description in RNAcentral is "partial 16S ribosomal RNA". It matches the Rfam family "Bacterial small subunit ribosomal RNA", at positions 99 to 354 of the family's 1533-position model. The record is from RNAcentral.
CGGACGGGUGAGUAACGCGUGAGCAAUCUGCCUCUACCAAUGGGAUAACACUUAGAAAUAGGUGCUAAUACCGUAUAAGACCAUGAGCCUGCAUGGGCAUGUGGUAAAAGCUCCGACGGGUAGAGAUGAGCUCGCGUCCCAUUAGCUAGUUGGUAGGGUAACGGCCUACCAAGGCGACGAUGGGUAGCCGACCUGAGAGGGUGAUCGGCCACAUUGGAACUGAGAAACGGUCCAAACUCCUACGGAAGGCAGCAG